UUGCAGGAGAAGGGAUUCUAGUUCUCUACAGUUGUCGUCUUUCUUGUGUGCUUGGGUGGAUGUAUACGCAGACACACACACUCACACACAUAUAAAGGGGAAGAACAAGGCAUCUCUUCUUGGGUUGCAGUAAAUUAUGCUCUUGGAAACUUGGGACGCGAGCCUCACGAAACAACUGGAAUAGUUGAACUUGGUGGGGGUUCUUUGCAGGUGUUUUCAUUCACUAUAUAUGAUCAUUUUGUUCGUAUACAAAUAAAUCCAUCUGCAUCAAAAAGUUAUUUCUUUAGUCUGCA
This 293-nucleotide small RNA is filed under the name Vigna angularis var. angularis. Its description in RNAcentral is "Non-protein coding transcript". The record is from RNAcentral. Lineage: Eukaryota; Viridiplantae; Streptophyta; Magnoliopsida; Fabales; Fabaceae.